RNAcentral lists this non-coding RNA (30 nucleotides) under Rattus norvegicus (Norway rat). The record is from RNAcentral. Lineage: Eukaryota; Metazoa; Chordata; Mammalia; Rodentia; Muridae.
GCCAAAUCCAAGUGGUUCAAUCCUCAGUAC